AGUGAACGCUGGCGGUAGGCCUAACACAUGCAAGUCGAACGGCAGCACAGUAAGAUCUUGCUCUUACGGGUGGCGAGUGGCGGACGGGUGAGGAAUACAUCGGAAUCUACUUUUUCGUGGGGGAUAACGUAGGGAAACUUACGCUAAUACCGCAUACGACCUACGGGUGAAAGCAGGGGAUCUUCGGACCUUGCGCGAUUGAAUGAGCCGAUGUCGGAUUAGCUAGUUGGCGGGGUAAAGGCCCACCAAGGCGACGAUCCGUAGCUGGUCUGAGAGGAUGAUCAGCCACACUGGAACUGAGACACGGUCCAGACUCCUACGGGAGGCAGCAGUGGGGAAUAUUGGACAAUGGGCGCAAGCCUGAUCCAGCCAUACCGCGUGAGUGAAGAAGGCCUUCGGGUUGUAAAGCCCUUUUGUUGGGAAAGAAAAGCAGCAGGUGAAUACCCCGCUGUUCUGACGGUACCCAAAGAAUAAGCACCGGCUAACUUCGUG
RNAcentral lists this ribosomal RNA (492 nucleotides) under uncultured bacterium. RNAcentral's name for it is "partial 16S ribosomal RNA". It matches the Rfam family "Bacterial small subunit ribosomal RNA", at positions 29 to 507 of the family's 1533-position model. The record is from RNAcentral.